Molecule: long non-coding RNA, 419 nt
Filed under: Lathyrus oleraceus (garden pea)
Lineage: Eukaryota; Viridiplantae; Streptophyta; Magnoliopsida; Fabales; Fabaceae
Description: Pisum sativum (pea) long non-coding RNA (PSAT_LNC005354)
Source: RNAcentral
AUAGUUCAAAGUGUGACAUUUGUGUACUCUCUUUAAUACUCAUACAAUAUGUGGCAUUACUCUAUCACAUUUACAUUUAUGGUAAAUACACUUGGAAACAAAACGAAACAUGCAAAAAUCUGCUGGACAAUCAGCAUCCUUUUUACAUCUAUUUUGUGCUGUAAUGAUGAAAAAGAAACAAAAACAUUUUACUACAAAUAAAAGAUUGCAUACAAACUACAAAGUAAAAAAAAUGAAAUUUUGAAAAAGGAUACAUAAAUGAAUUACCAUUAACAUCUUUUGCAGUAAGAAAUAGGAAAAAAAUCAGAAUCAUCGCAUAAGUAAAAGAUAGAGUUUUGGCCAUAGUUUUCUCUCUUUACAUCUAACAGUAGAGUAUGGUUUAAUCACUUUAUAUAUAAUACAUAAGACUCAUGUUCUUC